RNAcentral lists this ribosomal RNA (465 nucleotides) under Vreelandella stevensii. RNAcentral's name for it is "partial 16S ribosomal RNA". It matches the Rfam family "Bacterial small subunit ribosomal RNA", at positions 338 to 795 of the family's 1533-position model. Lineage: Bacteria; Pseudomonadati; Pseudomonadota; Gammaproteobacteria; Oceanospirillales; Halomonadaceae. The record is from RNAcentral.
CCUACGGGAGGCUGCAGUGGGGAAUAUUGGACAAUGGGCGAAAGCCUGAUCCAGCCAUGCCGCGUGUGUGAAGAAGGCCUUCGGGUUGUAAAGCACUUUCAGUGGGGAAGAAAGCCUUGGGGCUAAUACCCUCGAGGAAGGACAUCACCCACAGAAGAAGCACCGGCUAACUCCGUGCCAGCAGCCGCGGUAAUACGGAGGGUGCGUGCGUUAAUCGGAAUUACUGGGCGUAAAGCGCGCGUAGGCGGUCUGAUAAGCCGGUUGUGAAAGCCCCGGGCUCAACCUGGGAACGGCAUCCGGAACUGUCAGGCUAGAGUGCAGGAGAGGAAGGUAGAAUUCCCGGUGUAGCGGUGAAAUGCGUAGAGAUCGGGAGGAAUACCAGUGGCGAAGGCGGCCUUCUGGACUGACACUGACGCUGAGGUGCGAAAGCGUGGGUAGCAAACAGGAUUACAUACCCUAGUAGUC